GAAAAUGCAUCUCUCUUAGACAAGUAAUUGUUCCCUAUUUUUAUCAGGGUCCAGUCUUUUUCCUACAGUCAGAAGGAUUUUAACCAGUGUGAAGAGGACAAAUAAUAGCCUGCAGAGACUCUGAUGCAGAAGCAUUACUUGUGAAGCCUCGCUGACAGGGAAGAGAACAGGAAUGAUGGGAGCUGCCAGGACGACGGGAGUGCUGAAAGUUGCUGCGAGUGACUGAGUGAGGGUUUUUUUGAAGGAAUUCACUGCAUUCCUCCAAACCAAACCGCUUCAGGUUCAGCCUGAGAAAACAGGUUGGAGUAGUUGAAAGCAGACACAAAAAUGCUACUUAAGGACAAGAUGAGCUCUGCGGACGUACAAUGAUAGGGACACUCAUAUGCACAGACUGAGGAGGAGAAGACCAGUGUCCUGCUCACGUUGAUGCCCUUGCUCCUAUGUAUUAACCUCGUCCUAAAAUCGGAGCUCAGAGUCUCACGUCUGCCUGCUUGCGCACAGAUGUCCUAGUCCUCCUUUUCUGGAGGAGGACAGGCAAGGCCAGUGAAAGGCUGACUCCUGAGACUCAAAGAGCAUCGUUUUCACCUUUUAGGUUCCUGAGAAGAUUAAAAUAGUCUCUGGCGUGUACAGAAGGAUGAAGGGAUGGAGUUAUAGCUGGGGAAAUCAUCUGGAACGCGAUAGUGAAAAAAGCAUCAUCCGUUCUAAAUGAGGCUUUCACCUACAGGAUGUGUAAGAAAGGUCUAAUAACUAUGGAAAUUACAUGAAGUCUGUAGAGCGCCCUUGGUCGCCCUUCUCAUCUGCGUUUCGAUGAGCAGCUGCAAGGAAGGAGUGCUGGAAACAACAGCAUUGAACAAGUCUUGCGUUCUGAGCUAGCAGUGUGGAGACAGGACGGCAGAUGGUAAAUGGGGUAAAGCCCUAGGUGUUUCGGGUUCAGCUCUAAACCUUGUCUUCCUGUGUGGUCAUCAUCGUGUAUUCUCUUAUAACCUUUUUUCAGCUAUGUGUAACAAAUAUAAUUCCUUC
Non-coding RNA from Struthio camelus australis, 1020 nucleotides. The record is from RefSeq and is a predicted model, not a curated record. Lineage: Eukaryota; Metazoa; Chordata; Aves; Struthioniformes; Struthionidae.